RNAcentral lists this ribosomal RNA (116 nucleotides) under Pteropus alecto (black flying fox). Lineage: Eukaryota; Metazoa; Chordata; Mammalia; Chiroptera; Pteropodidae. The record is from RNAcentral.
GUCUACGGCCAUGCCACCCUGAACCAGCCCGAUGUCUGAUCUCGGAAGCCAAGCAGGGUUGGGCCUGGUUAGUACUUGGAUGGGAGACCACCUAGGAAGACCAGGUUAUGUAGGCA